CGAGGGAUAGAGCAGUGGUUAGCUCGUCGGGCUCAUAACCCGGAGGCCGCAGGUUCGAAUCUUGCUUUCGA
This is a non-coding RNA of Ktedonobacter sp. 13_2_20CM_2_54_8, 71 nucleotides long. Lineage: Bacteria; Bacillati; Chloroflexota; Ktedonobacteria; Ktedonobacterales; Ktedonobacteraceae. The record is from Rfam.